This 301-nucleotide ribosomal RNA is filed under the name uncultured bacterium. RNAcentral describes it as "partial 16S ribosomal RNA". It matches the Rfam family "Bacterial small subunit ribosomal RNA", at positions 509 to 807 of the family's 1533-position model. The record is from RNAcentral.
CAGCCGCCGCGGUAAAACGAAGGGUGCAAGCGUUAAUCGGAAUUACUGGGCGUAAAGCGUGCGUAGGCGGUGAGUUAAGUCUGCUGUGAAAUCCCCGGGCUCAACCUGGGAAUGGCAGUGGAUACUGGCUCGCUAGAGUGUGUCAGAGGAUGGUGGAAUUCCCGGUGUAGCGGUGAAAUGCGUAGAGAUCGGGAGGAACAUCAGUGGCGAAGGCGGCCAUCUGGGACAACACUGACGCUGAGGCACGAAAGCGUGGGGAGCAAACAGGAUUAGAUACCCCCGUAGUCCCUGUCUCUUAUAC